ACCGAUGUAUACGCCUUAUUCAGCCCGCCGCAAUUUUGAAUCGAAAACGAGGCUGUGAGGGUAAACCGGAAAUAACAACAACUAAACAUGGCUGUGUGGACUACGAACCUGUCAUAUCUUCCUCCUCUUACGCUCAAUGUUGUGGAGUCAUGGGUGGACGAAGGAUCAAAAAUUCCCAGGUCUAUCCUCCUGAAGGGUUACAGCAACUGGGUCGAGGGUUAUAUCCAUGAUGUUGAAGGUGGAGCUGUCUUCAGAAAACCCUUUUAUCCGAGACACCCACUGCACUUGUAGAGCAGGAUUGGGGCACUGUAAUCAUUUACUAGGACUACUUUACACACUGGCUCACUACCUAAAAAUGGAGCAUAAAUCUGUACCACCAAGAGCAAGUAAAACCUCUUUGCCUCAAACAUGGCAUGUGCCAUCAAGAACAUUAGGACUAAAGCCAAAGCCAAUCAGCACAGUAUCGGUUUCCAAAGUAAAAC
This is a long non-coding RNA of Carassius carassius (crucian carp), 482 nucleotides long. RefSeq lists it as uncharacterized. The record is from RefSeq and is a predicted model, not a curated record. The transcript is spliced from 2 exons. Lineage: Eukaryota; Metazoa; Chordata; Actinopteri; Cypriniformes; Cyprinidae.